Hippopotamus amphibius kiboko is the source of this 737-nucleotide long non-coding RNA. RefSeq lists it as uncharacterized. The transcript has 5 exons. The record is from RefSeq and is a predicted model, not a curated record. Lineage: Eukaryota; Metazoa; Chordata; Mammalia; Artiodactyla; Hippopotamidae.
GGGAGAGUUUUCUUCAGCAAAGGGAACUCAGAAAGCUGAAUCCUGAGUUCCCUGUGCUGGCCGUGUUCUUUAAGAUUCACCUUCAGAGGAAACUGGAAUCCUGGCACCCACCACGUGUCCCGUGUCACCAGCCUGACUGCAUGCUAUGGAGAGCUGUGUGGCAUUUGUAAUGGCCUGUUGAAUUUUGCCUGGGGCUGUCUGUGAGCCUGUUGGUGUGAAAGUAAGAAGAGAACUUUGGUCUCCAAAGAGAAUCCCUUGGCCCAGAAGCAAAAAAGAUUACAGUAAUGACAUCCAAUAAUUCUACAUAUGGAAGGCCUUAAAAGAUUGCAGGGAUCGAACCUCCACCCCUUGCAUUGGAAGUGCAGAGUCUUAACCACUGGACCACCAGGGAAGUCCCUAAAGGAGGAUUGUUUUCUGACAGAUCUGAUUGUGACAAGCAGAGGAAUAUUAAAGGCUGACACCUGCUAUUAAGUUGGAAUUUUUGAUGAGGUUCAAAGAUGGAUCUCCAUGACCUGGAAGAAUAAAUCAAGGUCACUGAUUGACUCAUACAAAGUCUUUUCAGCCAUUUAUAUUACAAUGUAAUUACAGCAAACUGAUGUGCAAUCCUGGAAGAGCUCUAACCUACUCACAUUGAUACAUAUGCAUUGUAUGAUGAAUAAAUGAAAAGAGAAAAAAGAUGCAAUGGAAAUUGUCUAUGUUCUUCAUUACAAGGAGGUUCAAAGUACUGCACAGCUACG